AGUCAACAUGCCCAGGGGACGUGGAUAACCUCGGGAAACUGAGGAUAAACCGCGAUAGGUCACUACUUCUGGAAUGGGUAAUGACUUAAACCUAUAUGGCCCCUGGAUUGGACUGCGGCCGAUCAGGCUGUUGGUGAGGUAAUGGCCCACCAAACCUGUAACCGGUACGGGCUCUGAGAGGAGGAGCCCGGAGAUGGGCACUGAGACAAGGGCCCAGGCCCUAUGGGGCGCAGCAGGCGCGAAACCUCUGCAAUAGGCGAAAGCCUGACAGGGUUACUCUGAGUGAUUUCCGUUAAGGAGAUCUUUUGGCACCUCUAAAAAUGGUGCAGAAUAAGGGGUGGGCAAGUCUUGUGUCAGCCGCCGCGGUAAUACCAGCACCCCGAGUGGUCGGGACGUUUAUUGGGCCUAAAGCAUCCGUAACCGGUUCUACAAGUCUUC
This 438-nucleotide ribosomal RNA is filed under the name uncultured archaeon. RNAcentral describes it as "bacterial SSU rRNA". It matches the Rfam family "Archaeal small subunit ribosomal RNA", at positions 102 to 542 of the family's 1478-position model. The record is from RNAcentral.